This 1875-nucleotide long non-coding RNA is filed under the name Anolis carolinensis (green anole). Its description in RNAcentral is "lncRNA (ENSACAG00000042145.1)". Lineage: Eukaryota; Metazoa; Chordata; Lepidosauria; Squamata; Anolidae. The record is from RNAcentral.
AUGGUGGACUCAUCGACUCAAUGUGCAGAAGGGUAUGCCAUUUCGCCAACCAAAACCAUCAGCAACACUAACCACGGAUUCGUCCCUUCUGGGAUGGGGCACGCACUUGGACACCCUCACAGUUCGGGGAACUUGGUCGCCGACAGAGAAAAGCCAUCACAUCAACUUUCUGGAGAUGCUAGCGGUCCAGAAGGCCCUCAGGGCUUUCGAGUUCCCACUUUCGGGGCGUGUUGUCCGUCUACUGACAGACAACACCACGACAAAAUUUUACAUCAACAAACAAGGGGGAACUCGGUCCCGCAAGCUGAUAAACCUAACCUUACAGAUCUGGGAUUGGUGCAUCACCAGGGGGAUACAUCUGGUGGCACUUUAUCUCCCCGGAAAGGACAACAAGCUAGCAGACGAGUUGAGCAGGACUCCCAGCUCCUGCCACGAAUGGCGGAUCCACCCGCAGAUACUAGACUCAGUCUUCGCAGCAUGGGGCCAACUGGCGGUGGACCUAUUCGCCUCCCCCGAGAACCGCCACUGCGAUCUAUUCUGCGCAAGACGCCCUCCAAACACCCAGUCGGGAUGUCUGGGCGACGCGUUUCUUUACACCUGGGCACCCGGGUUGCUUUACGCGUACCCACCAAUUCCUCUGAUAACGAGAGUCAUAUCGAAACUACUUCAAGACAACGCAGAUUGUAUUCUUCUAACACCGUGGUGGCCUCGGCAACCGUGGUUCGGGCCACUUCUCCAAGCAUCUCAAGGAAUAUUCCAUCACCUACCCUUCAGGCCAGACGUCCUGACAACCCACAACGGCCUUGUCCGUCACCCGGACACUCGCUCUCUGCGCCUCACGGCAUGGAGGAUAUGGCCUUGCUCUCAGCCCCUGUGAGAGCUAUUAUUGCAGCUGCACAAAAGGACUCAACAAAAAAGUCAUAUACUUAUAAGUGGCAGCGAUUCUCGGAGUUCGCUAAGCAAGCGGGUACCGAUCCUUCAUCGGCUCCCAUUCCAGUAGUGCUUGACUUCCUUCACUCGCUUUCAAAUAAAAGAUUGUCCAUUUCCUCGAUCAAGUGCUACCUGGCAGCCAUCUCUUGGUUCCGCCGUAAGGCCGGUUUACCCUCCUGCUUCGGGGACCCGUGGGUUCGUCUAUUCUUGAAAGGACAUAAAAAUCUCUUUCCGCCUGUCUUUCCGCCAGUCCCAGCAUGGAGCUUAGAGCUGGUUCUGUCCCAGAUGUCCAAACCACCUUUCGAACCCGUGGCAACCAUAGAUUUGUGUCAUCUAUCCUGGAAAACAGCCUUUCUAACUGCUAUCACCACAGCGAGGCGUGCCUGUGAACUCUGUGCGCUCAGGGCUGAUGAGCCUUAUCUCCGGUUCCACAAGGACAAGGCGGUCUUGCGGAUGGACAUUUCCUUCCUACCAAAGGUUGUGUCGAAGUUCCACCUGUCGCAAGACAUUAUACUUCCAGCCUUUUUUCAAAAUCCGGUGUCACCAUUGGAGCAUGCGCUCCAUGCCUUGGACGUACGGAGGGCUCUAGCAUAUUAUGUGGAUAGAACACGCGCUUAUAGGAAAUCCCCACGUUUGUUUGUAAAGUAUAGACAGGAUGCCAUGGGCCUCCCGAUAACGUCACAGCGACUCUCGGCGUGGAUCGUUGCAGCAAUACGCCUAGCAUACAACCUCGCUGGCCGUGAACCACCGACCACAUUGAAGGCGCAUUCCACGAGAGCUGUGGCCACUUCGUGCGCUUUUAUGAAGGGCGUUCCGUUGGAAGAGGUUUGUCGAGCAGCGACCUGGGCGACGCCCUCGACAUUCGUCUCCCACUACAAGGUGGACGCUGUGUCCAGGAGAGAUGGUGCAUUCGGCAGAGCGGUGCUGUCUUCGUGUGUGGCAUGA